GCAGGGGUCCGAUAGCCCGGUCAAUUCGGCUACCUUGAGGGGGUAGUGGCUUAGUGCCUUCGAGGGUUCAAAUCCCUUCCCCUGCA
RNAcentral lists this transfer RNA (86 nucleotides) under Candidatus Iainarchaeum sp. RNAcentral's name for it is "tRNA-Leu". It matches the Rfam family "tRNA". From Rfam's summary of the family: Transfer RNA (tRNA) molecules are approximately 80 nucleotides in length. The record is from RNAcentral. Lineage: Archaea; Nanobdellati; Candidatus Iainarchaeota; Candidatus Iainarchaeia; Candidatus Iainarchaeales; Candidatus Iainarchaeaceae.